RNAcentral lists this ribosomal RNA (738 nucleotides) under uncultured Atopobium sp. Its description in RNAcentral is "bacterial SSU rRNA". It matches the Rfam family "Bacterial small subunit ribosomal RNA", at positions 28 to 776 of the family's 1533-position model. The record is from RNAcentral. Lineage: Bacteria; Bacillati; Actinomycetota; Coriobacteriia; Coriobacteriales; Atopobiaceae.
GAUGAACGCUGGCGGCGCGCCUAACACAUGCAAGUCGAACGAUUAAAGCACCUUCGGGUGUGUAUAAAGUGGCGAACGGCUGAGUAACACGUGGGCAACCUGCCUUUUACUUUGGGAUAGCCUCGGGAAACCGAGGAUAAUACCGAAUACUUUGUAUGUAUCGCAUGGUAUAUACAAGAAAGCUUUUGCGGUAAAAGAUGGGCCCGCGGCCUGUUAGCUUGUUGGUGAGGUAACGGCUCACCAAGGCAAUGAUGGGUAGCCGGGUCGAGAGACCGACCGGCCAGAUUGGGACUGAGACACGGCCCAGACUCCUACGGGAGGCAGCAGUGGGGAAUCUUGCGCAAUGGGGGAAACCCUGACGCAGCGACGCCGCGUGCGGGAUGAAGGCCUUCGGGUUGUAAACCGCUUUCAGCAGGGACGAGGCCUUAUGGUGACGGUACCUGCAGAAGAAGCUCCGGCUAAAUACGUGCCAGCAGCCGCGGUAAUACGUAUGGAGCAAGCGUUAUCCGGAUUCAUUGGGCGUAAAGCGCUCGUAGGCGGUCUGUUAGGUCGGCAAGUUAAAUCCGGGGGCUCAACCCCCGUCCGCUUCCGAUACCGGCAGACCUGAGUUUGGUAGGGGAAGGUGGAAUUCCUAGUGUAGCGGUGGAAUGCGCAGAUAUUAGGAAGAACACCGGUGGCGAAGGCGGCCUUCUGGGCCAUAACUGACGCUGAGGAGCGAAAGCUAGGGGAGCGAACAGG